RNAcentral lists this unclassified non-coding RNA (1210 nucleotides) under Zea mays. RNAcentral describes it as "misc RNA Zm00001eb073570". The record is from RNAcentral. Lineage: Eukaryota; Viridiplantae; Streptophyta; Magnoliopsida; Poales; Poaceae.
GGGGAGGCCUGCUUAUUACUAGCUAGCUUUGUGACGACUUCACAGCAGAAAACACACACACACAUCAAGCGAAAGGAGAGGGAGGGAGGAGAGAUACACUUGAUCUUCCGGCGGAGGACCGAGAAGCUAUCCCCCACUGCACAUAUGGCGGCUGGAUUGGACAGGAAAAAUGGCACCUCCAACGGACGGGCACCUGUGUAUGUGUACCUCGCUCCUUUUUAUCUCCCCAUAUCACUCCCAGCUUCCAGGUUCAGUAGAAGUAGCAAUAGCAGCAGCAGCCUGCGUCCUGCAGGCACCAAUAGUAGUAGUAGAGUAGAGCUCAUUAGUUUCAUCGCCACAUCCAUUAUUGGUGUUACUACCUCCGAUCCAUUACCGGCAGCCCGGUUCGAUCUACGGGUCCCGGUAGUUCCAGAGGCUGUCGCCGGCAUCCGACGACGACGGGUGGUCCGGCGAGUCGUCCGACGAGUUGCGGCCGAACCUCGGGGGGCUCAUCAUCAUCCCCGCGGCCAUGUUGCGCAGGUACUGCGGCGUCUCGAACAGCGCCUCCUCGUCCAGGAAGUAGGGGUUCCCCGCGCCGCCGCCGCCGCCUUCAUGCUGUGCCGCGCCGCUGCUCCCGCCGGCCUGCUGCUGGUGCUGGUGCUGCUGCUGCGUUGCACCAGCCGCGGCGGCAGCAAUGCCGCGCCCAGCAGCGCUGCCAUGGGCCGGCGGCUGGUGAUCGGGCUGCUGCAGCGACGCGGCGGCCUCCGCGGCCGCGGCGCGGAUGUCGUCCGCGGAGGUGGACGCCGGCGCGGGGCGGGACGCGGCCAGGUGCGGGAGGUUGAGCGCCGCGUCGGGCCCGCGCAGCGCGCGCGCGGCCACGUCGUACGCCACGGCGGCCAUCUCGGCCGUCGGGAACGUGCCGAGCCAGAUGCGGCGCGUCUUCCUCGGCUCCCGGAUCUCCGACACCCACUUGCCGCUGCGGCUCCGGAUGCCGCGGUAGAAGGGGUGCUUCCCCGACCGCGGCGAGGCCGGCCCGCCGCGGUCAGACAUUGACGCUGGGCAGCGUUAGGGCUGCAGCUCUCUCUCUCUCUCUCUACUCCGAUCAGCAGCUACACCCAAUCACACUACUAGCUAGCUAGGCACAUAGCCUGUACACUACUAUCUGCACGUGUGCGGAGAUUUGCGGCGGCUCGACCAGUGGCUGCGGCCGUGCAUGCAGGUUGUCACUUGC